GCAAAUCUUUUUGGGAAGGGAGGAGGUACCUUGAAUUUCUCCAUAAGUUGUUGUUUCUGCCUUUGACUGGAUUCUGCCUGGUCUGUUGAUUUGGGCAGAUCACUCUCUGCCUUCUCUGGUGAUUUGGGCAAAUCACUGCUGGACAGCUCAGUUUGCCCAGCGAUCGGGUCAGUUUCUACUAGUGAAUUGGGCAAAUCACUGCCCUGAUCACUUUCUGGCAGAAUUUCUUCCAUGGCCUGUUUUUGCAAUUUUUUAGCCUUGCUGUCUUGUAGCUCUUUUCCACUCCUCAAUGUGAUGGCAC
RNAcentral lists this long non-coding RNA (301 nucleotides) under Manihot esculenta (cassava). RNAcentral describes it as "long non-coding RNA (MESC_LNC005164)". The record is from RNAcentral. Lineage: Eukaryota; Viridiplantae; Streptophyta; Magnoliopsida; Malpighiales; Euphorbiaceae.